Molecule: ribosomal RNA, 240 nt
Filed under: uncultured Pseudoxanthomonas sp.
Lineage: Bacteria; Pseudomonadati; Pseudomonadota; Gammaproteobacteria; Lysobacterales; Lysobacteraceae
Description: partial 16S ribosomal RNA
Rfam family: Bacterial small subunit ribosomal RNA
Source: RNAcentral
UGGGGAAUAUUGGACAAUGGGCGCAAGCCUGAUCCAGCCAUACCGCGUGGGUGAAGAAGGCCUUCGGGUUGUAAAGCCCUUUUGUUGGGAAAGAAAUCCUGUCGAUUAAUACUCGGUGGGGAUGACGGUACCCAAAGAAUAAGCACCGGCUAACUUCGUGCCAGCAGCCGCGGUAAUACGAAGGGUGCAAGCGUUACUCGGAAUUACUGGGCGUAAAGCGUGCGUAGGUGGUGGUUUAAG